This 515-nucleotide ribosomal RNA is filed under the name uncultured bacterium. Its description in RNAcentral is "partial 16S ribosomal RNA". It matches the Rfam family "Bacterial small subunit ribosomal RNA", at positions 28 to 523 of the family's 1533-position model. The record is from RNAcentral.
GAUGAACGCUGGCGGCGUGCCUAAUACAUGCAAGUCGAGCGAAUGGAUUGAGAGCUUGCUCUUAUGAAGUUAGCGGCGGACGGGUGAGUAACACGUGGGUAACCUGCCCAUAAGACUGGGAUAACUCCGGGAAACCGGGGCUAAUACCGGAUAACAUUUUGAACCGCAUGGUUCGAAAUUGAAAGGCGGCUCCGGCUGUCACUUAUGGAUGGACCCGCGUCGCAUUAGCGAGUUGGUGAGGUAACGGCGCACCAAGGCAACGAUGCGUAGCCGGCCUGAGAGGGUGAUCGGCCACACUGGGACUGAGACACGGCCCAGACUCCUACGGGAGGCAGCAGUAGGGAAUCUUCCGCAAUGGACGAAAGUCUGACGGAGCAACGCCGCGUGAGUGAUGAAGGCUUUCGGGUCGUAAAACUCUGUUGUUAGGGAAGAACAAGUGCUAGUUGAAUAAGCUGGCACCUUGACGGUACCUAACCAGAAAGCCACGGCUAACUACGUGCCAGCAGCCGCCGUAA